This 556-nucleotide ribosomal RNA is filed under the name Brachyotum sp. Michelangeli 1738. Its description in RNAcentral is "eukaryotic LSU rRNA". The stretch from base 331 to 556 matches the Rfam family "Eukaryotic large subunit ribosomal RNA", at positions 1 to 225 of the family's 3401-position model. The record is from RNAcentral. Lineage: Eukaryota; Viridiplantae; Streptophyta; Magnoliopsida; Myrtales; Melastomataceae.
AAUGCGAUMUUGGUGUGAAUUGCAGAAUCCCGCGAACCAUCAAUUCUUUGAACGCAAGUUGCGCCCGAAGCCAUUCGGCCGAGGGCACGCCUGCCUGGGUGUCGUGAAUCCCCUUGCCCCCGGGCACCCGCACGAGCAUCGUCGCGGAUAUGUCCGGGSGCAGAAUAUGGUCUCCCGCCGGGUCGGCGUGCGCGGCACGUCGUGGGGCGGUUGGCCGAAAAUCGAGCAUUGCGACGUCGGGCUCCACGGCGUUCGGUGGAUCGAACGCGAUUGGCUGCGCCGUGGUCCCGUCAUAUGCCGCGGGCUCCGGAMUACGAUGAUUCCCGAGUGCGAUCCCAGGUCAGGSGGGGCUACCCGCUGAGUUUAAGCAUAUCAAUAAGCGGAGGAAAAGAAACUAACGAGGAUUCCCUUAGUAGCGGCGAGCGAACCGGGACGUGCCCAGCGUGAAAAUCGUCCGCCUUUCGGCGGCCGAAUUGUAGUCUGGAGAAGCGUCCUCAGUGACGGACCGGGCCCAAGUUCACUGGAAGGUGGCGCCGGAGAGGGUGAGAGCCCCGUC